Lutzomyia longipalpis is the source of this 4273-nucleotide long non-coding RNA. RefSeq lists it as uncharacterized. The record is from RefSeq and is a predicted model, not a curated record. The transcript is spliced from 2 exons. Lineage: Eukaryota; Metazoa; Arthropoda; Insecta; Diptera; Psychodidae.
AUGAUUUACGUAACUGGGAGGCCGGCGGAUCGACUGCAGAAUGAUGCGAGUGACCUUGAGACUUCUCAGGUGGAUGAGCAUCUUUAACUCGAGUCUAAUGAUAGGGAGCAGCGGAAAAUCGCUGUAAGAAUAACAGAUAUAUCUUCACGAGUACCCGGAUGGACGAAGUUAGGCGCAUCUUCCCACGGGGAACUGAGAGAUAAACGCAAUGAAGGAGAGGAAAACUGAAAGAAGAAAUUGUGACACUACAGAGAAGUAUAUUUAUUUCUUUUAGGAAGACGGUAGACAUUCCCGUGUGGAGGUAAACAAGAGGAUGAAAUCCGUAAAGUCCUGUGAGAAGUGCAGCGUUCCAGUAGGUGCGGUUAUAUACGUGCAGGCGCGUUGAAAUUGAUGAACCCCCGCAGCAAAUGUACACGUGGGGCUCGGAUGAAAGCUGCUGGGAAGAUGUAACGCUGCGUGGGAGGUGAAAAGUGAUAUUUUUCACGAACUAAUGCGGCAUACUAAGGAAAUACGGCGAAUGACAUUAGGAAAAUCGGGAAAAUCUGCCGUUGGAGUAUUUAGCCGCCUCAUUUUGUGGAAAUAAGAGGUGGUUCCCUCUUGAUGAUAAAAGAAGUGAAGCACCAUAAGAACAAAUCCGUGGAAGGUAUCUGUUUGGUGUUGUACUGGAGCAUUUCAGGAUGCGGUGGUUUCCCGCAUGGUGGAUCAGCGUAAAUUAGCCUUCCGAAUCAGCGUUCUGACAGUUGGAAAUGCCUCUGAGGAAGGAAGGAAUUGCUCUUCUUGAAAGAUCAGAGAAAAGCCGCAGUUACUCAACGCGAAAUCUACAGGGAGCACGAGAAAGGGAAAACAUCAAGAAAAUUUAUCAAUAUUGCUUGCAAUCUCUUCCACAAAAGUGUGUCGGUUGGUGUGGAUUUACACGGGCCCAAGUCGCCCAAUGCUAAACGGAAGAAGAAUCACCACCAAAUUCCAAAAAUAGAGAAGUAUAAGUGUGAAUGUUGAGUGAAUGAGGGGCCCCAGUGUGAGUGGUGUGUGAUGAGAGCAGUUGAUGAUCCAGGCACUGCUAAUGAAAUUACGAAAAUUGAUUGCUCUCCGCUUUAGAUGUUUCUUUCUAGGGACCUCUUGAGGCAGCAGUAGGAGACUGUGUCGUCUCAAUAAGAAGCGCACUAAAGAGUCAUCGUAGCUACAGGCAGUUUGUGAUGGAGAGAUAAGCAAAAGGGAAUGUUCGGUGAGUUCGUUCCUUAUUAUUUCUCCGUAAUAAAGUUACGUGCUACAUAAGGUCAUAUUUAAUGCCGGAAAUAAGUUUCUAUUAUUGUAAUAAAUUACUAGUGACCUUAUGGCAAGACUAACAAAUCGAUAAAUGAAAUUUAGAAACUUAAGUACUAAUCAUAGGCAGUGAAUGAGCCGAAUGAGAACGAUUAAAAUAUAGCAGUAAGAAGAUUUGUCGGAUAACAAAUCAGUUUUAGAAUAAUUAACCAUAAGACAAGUAACUGAUUUCGGAUAUCUAGGGGGCUAUCUCAGCUUUCAGUGGGAAGCAAAUCAGAGAAUUCCUUAAAAUUUCGGCUGUUGUUUUGCCUUGUGAGUUUGGAUAUUUUCUCUGAUUUGUCCUCUGGUUGAAUCGUAUGGUGUUCUGCCUAUGUAUGACUACUAACGAUGGGAUUAAAUUUCCGGUGUUCAUCCGGAAUGGAGUGAUUAAUCCUUAUCUCAAGAUAUUCUGGUUCAACAAUUUCCUCCAAUUUCAUCGUACUUGUCUCUCCUGAUAGGAAGUUGUUACAGUCCCGUUACGUUUCGGAAAAUAUCCAAAAUAUGGCGUGUCAGUUGGAGAUAAGGUAAAAUCACGAUGAUGAGCUUCCAAAAGGUUUACGUGGUCACGGAAAUGAACUCAGCGGAGUCUCAGGAAUUGCUGUGGCAUUAGAGAAGAAUUAUUUGCGGAAAGUUGUAGCGUCAAUGGAUUGAUACCAUUAUUUCAAUCUUUACAAAUGGCUCUGCGUAUGUGAUACGCGUGGAUAGUUGAUAGCCAAGAAUAUGUAAUUAUUCUGCGGGAUGCCGGAUGAAUUGUGAUGUAAUUCUGUGAUAUAGAAACUACCACAACACAAUGGCUUUGGUCACGAAGAAAUCAAAUAUCCGGAGAGUAUGAAAGGAGUUCAGUUGACUCAUUCGAGCAUACAGUCAGUUCUAUGAGUAUGUCUUGAAGAUUUGCGAUUGUGAAUUCGCAACUCUUAAGGGGGUUCAGAAUCUAGAAGACUCGUGGCUGUGAAUCCGCAAUUCUUUAGGGGGAUCAGAAUGGAGUACACUAACUAGACAGUUGGUUCUCGACAACUGUGAAUUGGUAUGGCAUGCAUGAGUGAAAGGUUAGCGGUGGGUUAAGAAGUGCUUAAAGAGAUGGCGACGGAAUGCACCAUUAUACAGACAUCAGGAGUAAUAUCAACAACAAACUUGAAACCGCCAAGUGCGUAGUGUGGCGGAAAAUAAGCAUAGCUGAUAUGGAUUGAACAUUGAGAAGAGGGUCAUCUGGAUCAGGUAUCAGCGAUAGGAAGAUCAGCAAAGUCAAUGUCGGGUACAGAUAAGGAAGUUGGAUUGAUACUAGGCUGGGUCUGAUGUUCCAUGUGGCUUCUCUCCAUGUAUCUCAUGCGGACGUCUAGUAAAUCCAAUAGGCUCGUUUGUUCUUGUAGUAUGCUAGAUCCCCAUUCUGGUUGAAUACUUUGAUUGUCAUAAAAAAAUAGAAAUAGAUGAGUCAAUGGUUAGAUGAUGUUGUGAGGGUGUUAGGACUUAUUUAUCUUGCGGUAGAUAUAGUUUCACUGGACAGUCGUCUUAAAGAAAGUGGACUUUCAAGAUAUGUGAUGAGUAGAAGUAUUCUUCCAGGUGUUGGUGUAGGGGUAUAGAAAUUCCGUGGUAGUGUGGUAUGCGAAAAACUUUCUCCUUCCUCUGGACCCUAAAACUGUUGCGUUGACAGGGAUGCCUCUAAAUGGUCAUGGAAUGUUUCUAGGGCGGUACCUGCCUUGGCCGGAUGGGGAGGCAAGAACAAGCACACUACGUGGAUGUAAGGAAAUUAUAAAGGGAAUUUCACAACUAAUUUCAAAGGAAAAAGCUAUUCUGCCAAGGCUUAUAAGUUCUGACCGGAUAUGUUGUGGAAAGUGACUUAGAAACAUCCUCAUUGAUGACAAGGUGUGUAUAAGCCAAAAGUGAAUUAUGGCUUAAGGACAAGAGCAAUAGUAUGAGAAUGUGCUCAUUGUGUGUGCAUGAUGUCAAGUGCAAAAGGAACACACUAACCAAAGCGUAUGCAAUGAACUCUAAGGACAAGUUCACAGUAUGACAUGAGGUAGCAUGUUACGUCCAUAAGGGACUGAGAGUGAAGUUUCCCAAGGCGAUGACAAACGGUAAGGAAUAGUACUGAUUGUGAGUCUAAGUCCCAUCGACUCGGAGGCAAGUUACAUUGGUAACAUCAUGUGGGAGUCAAUUCAAAUAUGGGAAAGACCGUAGGAGUUUUAAAUCCAUAGGAAUAGCCUGAACAUGCACUACAGAACAGGGACAUCAAAAGUGCAUAAACAUCCGAUAUUUUUCAACGCAUAGUAGUUGACUCUUGUAGGUACUGGGCCUCAUGAGUUGAGCUGGUGUGCGUGGAAGAAUAUCACAGGGAUGUUGUGGUGGAAACGAGCCACUGAUGGCAUGGGUGACAUGCCAAGUGAAGCAUCCAAUCCGAAGUGAUCAUUUACACAUAGUGGUUCACCAAUGAAGGUUUUGGGCCUCAUAGGUUAAAGCUGCUGUGUGUAAGGUAUCAUAGGGAUGCGAGGGUAGAACCGAGUCUACCACUGACAGAUGUGUUCUGUCUUUCAGUUCUGGAAGUAGAACUGAGCGCUCAUAAAAUUGCGGAAUUUUAAUGGUAUUCGCGCCUAGUUCUGAUUGAGUUCAACGGACCUUGGGACUCGCGGUGUUAUGGGUUAAAGGAAACGGGCUAGUUGAGCUAAGCUCCUAACUCGGGUUCCUACUAUUCACUGUGAGUUGCCAAGGGACGGCAACAAGAUCAGAAUGGCCGAAUGUAGGAGCGCAUUGACCAAUUCGAGAAGAGAGCCCUCUCGACGGUCAAAUGUAACCCUCUCCUCUCCCUAAAUUCCUCUCUCUCCAAUAACGGUGCUGAGGACUGCAGCUCAACUGAGAAAGAUCAGUUGGGCUGAUGCUGUGAGAGCGAACACACGUCACCGCAGACUGUGUUCCUCCACAGCAUGAAAAAGGGCGACAGUCCCAGCCCGUAAGUGCGCGAUAUUGAAUUAGAACGCCUACA